RNAcentral lists this ribosomal RNA (460 nucleotides) under uncultured bacterium. RNAcentral describes it as "partial 16S ribosomal RNA". It matches the Rfam family "Bacterial small subunit ribosomal RNA", at positions 338 to 795 of the family's 1533-position model. The record is from RNAcentral.
CCUACGGGAGGCUGCAGUGAGGAAUAUUGGUCAAUGGCCGGAAGGCUGAACCAGCCAUGCCGCGUGAAGGUCAGUGCCCUAUGGGCGUUAAACUUCUUUUGUGCGGGAGCAAUAAUGGUCACGUGUGGCCAGACGAGGGUACCUUACGAAUAAGCAUCGGCUAACUCCGGGCCAGCAGCCGCGGUAAUACGGGGGAUGCAAGCGUUAUCCGGAUUUAUUGGGUUUAAAGGGUGCGUUGGCUGUGUGGUAAGUCAGCGGUGAAAUGCCCCCGCUCAACGGGGUGAAGUGCCAUUGAUACUGCCUAGCUGGAAUGCGGAUGCCGUGGGAGGAAUGUGUGGUGUAGCGGUGAAAUGCAUAGAUAUCACACAGAACACCGAUUGCGAAGGCAUCUCACGAAUCCGCGAUUGACGCUGAUGCACGAAAGCGUGGGUAUCAAACAGGAUUAGAUACCCCGGUAGUC